Long non-coding RNA from Helicoverpa zea (corn earworm), 1112 nucleotides. RefSeq lists it as uncharacterized. Lineage: Eukaryota; Metazoa; Arthropoda; Insecta; Lepidoptera; Noctuidae. The transcript has 2 exons. The record is from RefSeq and is a predicted model, not a curated record.
CAGGCUCGCGCGGCAGCCUCGCGAGCCAAAUGCCUCGGCUGGUGUGGACGUGCCUCGGCCUGCCUCGGGCGCGCGUUUGCUCGACCGAGCACGGCUCGGCCCCGAGCCAUCUGUUGUCGGUAAACUUAACGCGCUCAAAGGUGCCUCAGUGAGCGCUGUGCGUUAGGUGGGGACGGAUGUGUUUUGGCUCGCGCGCGAAGCUGCUUCAAGUUUUGUCUCUUGCCGUGUUUGUCUUCUGUUAUUUUGAUAUCAUGGGCAGUCAGGAGGAGUCCAUUCGCUUAAUACAACUGUACAGCACGUACAAUGCGCUUUGGGACCCCAAAGAUCCAAAAUAUUUAAACAAAAAUCAGCGGGAAGACAGUUGGCGGCAAAUAUCUGCUCAAAUUAAUAUGCCUGUCAAGGAAGUGAAAAACAAAAUGGUGUCCUUGUGUGGUUCUUAUCGUCGAGAGAAAAGCAGGGAGAAAAAAAGUCGUAUAGCAGGUUCAGGCGCUGCAGAUGUUUAUAAUUCAAAGUGGUUUGGAUAUCCUUAUUUCCAUUUUCUUAAGGAUAAAAAUGAAACUGGUGACACUCGGGAAACGAUGCCGACUGUAAGAAUUUUUAACUAUGCAUAAUGAUUUUGAAAUGGUAUAGAACCAUUAGUUAUAAAAUGUUCUGCCAAGUGCAACCGUAUUUCUUUUGCGUUAUUAGAACUACGCCUUGGACACGCUGCAAUUGGUGCGAAUGUAACUUCAUUUAUUUCAUUUCUCCAUUGGCCAGGAAUCAUUGCGCCAUCAAGUUCUCUGUCAAACAAUUCCGGUGAAAUAAGAUUAGUUGAAGUAUUUUUUCGGAUGUAGUUGUACAAAUAUACAGCUGCUAAGACUACCUUUGUUGCUUUAUUUGGCUCUAGUAAGAUAGGUUUUCUAAAAACGCGAAAUAUGGCACUUAAUAUUCCAAAUGCAUUCUCAACGACACGCCGAGCUCGGCUAAGGCGAUAAUUAAAUAUUCUUUCUUUAGAACCAUUUUCUGGGUUGCCCUCAAAUGGUUUCAUGGUAUAUUCGUUGAGUGCAAAGGCUUUAUCAGAUAAAAUAAAAUAAGGAACUUUUGUUACAUAUGGUAUUUCCAAUAUCUUCUCU